GACGAACGCUGGCGGCGUGCUUAACACAUGCAAGUCGAACGGAAAGGCCCUGCUUUUGUGGGGUGCUCGAGUAGCGAACGGGUGAGUAACACGUGAGUAACCUGCCCUUGACUUUGGGAUAACUUCAGGAAACUGGGGCUAAUACCGGAUAGGAGCUCCUGCUGCAUGGUGGGGGUUGGAAAGUUUCGGCGGUUGGGGAUGGACUCGCGGCUUGUCAGCUUGUUGGUGGGGUGGUGGCUUACCAAGGCUGUGACGGGUAGCCGGCCUGAGAGGGUGCACGGCCAAAUGGGGACUGGGAGACGGCCCAGAGUCCUACGGGAGGCAGCAGGGGGGAAUAUUGCACAAAGGGCGGAAGCGUGAUGCAGCACCGCCGCGUGCGAGAUGACGGCCUUAGGGUUGAAAACCGCUUUCGCCUGUGACGAAGCGUGAGUGACGGUAAUGGGAAAAGAAGCACCGGCUAACUACG
This 466-nucleotide ribosomal RNA is filed under the name uncultured bacterium. RNAcentral describes it as "partial 16S ribosomal RNA". It matches the Rfam family "Bacterial small subunit ribosomal RNA", at positions 28 to 505 of the family's 1533-position model. The record is from RNAcentral.